RNAcentral lists this ribosomal RNA (303 nucleotides) under Triticum aestivum (bread wheat). RNAcentral's name for it is "partial small subunit ribosomal RNA". Lineage: Eukaryota; Viridiplantae; Streptophyta; Magnoliopsida; Poales; Poaceae. The record is from RNAcentral.
AUGCUAACUCUCGCCGCCGCCGCCUCCCCCAUCCCAGAUUCUUCUCCUCCGCCGCGCCAUGGCGCUCCCUAUGAUCGAUGUGCCAUCGGGUUCCGCUGUUCUUUGAACUCCGUUGGGUGCCGGGGUGGUGGUCUUAGGAGGAGGGGAGGAGGAAGAAGAAGAGGACCAGGAGAGCCCCGCAGGUGCAGGGGAGGCCGUUCGCGGUGGAGAGGCUGGUGGCGCACAAGGCAUGGACGUGCCUGCCGAGUGCCCAGCCCGCUGACGGCGAUGGGUCUGGAUAAGUUCGGUGUGCUUUUAGGUUGA